This 28-nucleotide small RNA is filed under the name Bombyx mori (domestic silkworm). RNAcentral describes it as "ovarian small RNA-15197". Lineage: Eukaryota; Metazoa; Arthropoda; Insecta; Lepidoptera; Bombycidae. The record is from RNAcentral.
GAACUCGUCAGGUACAUCUGAUCCAGCU